RNAcentral lists this ribosomal RNA (253 nucleotides) under uncultured bacterium. Its description in RNAcentral is "partial 16S ribosomal RNA". It matches the Rfam family "Bacterial small subunit ribosomal RNA", at positions 524 to 776 of the family's 1533-position model. The record is from RNAcentral.
UACAGAGGUCUCAAGCGUUGUUCGGAUUCAUUGGGCGUAAAGGGUGCGUAGGUGGCGCGCUAAGUCAGGUGUGAAAUUUCGGAGCUUAACUCCGAAACUGCAUUUGAUACUGGCGUGCUUGAGGACUGGAGAGGAGACUGGAAUUCAUGGUGUAGCAGUGAAAUGCGUAGAGAUCAUGAGGAAGACCAGUGGCGAAGGCGGGUCUCUGGACAGUUCCUGACACUGAAGCACGAAGGCCAGGGGAGCAAACGGG